This 121-nucleotide ribosomal RNA is filed under the name Colocasia esculenta (taro). Lineage: Eukaryota; Viridiplantae; Streptophyta; Magnoliopsida; Alismatales; Araceae. The record is from RNAcentral.
AAAAACCAAAAACUCUGCCCUUCCAUCCCUUGGAUAGAUAGAGAGGGAGGGCAGAGUUUUUGGUGUCCCUUCCAGUCAAAAAUUGGGGCCUCACAAUCACUAGCCAAUAUGAAUAUGCUUU